CUCCGGUGAUCCUGCCGGACCUGACUGCUAUCGGAUUGGUACUAAGCCAUGCGAGUCAUUGUAGCAAUACAAGGCGGACGGCUCAGUAACACGUAGUCAACCUAACUCGUGGACGUGGAUAACCUCGGGAAACUGAGAAUAAACCACGAUAGACCAUAGUGCCUGGAAUGGCUUAUGGUCCAAACAGUUUACUGCCAUGGGAUGGGACUGCGGCCUAUCAGCUUGUUGGUGAGGUAAUGGCCCACCAAGGCGAUUACAGGUACGGGCUCUGAGAGGAGAAGCCCGGAGAUGGGUACUGAGACACGGACCCAGGCCCUAUGGGGCGCAGCAGGCGAGAAACCUUAGCAAUGUGCGAAAGCACGACUGGGUCAGUCCAAGUGAUUCCUGAUAAAGGAGUCUUUUGCUUGUCCUAAAAGCACAGGUGAAUAAGGGGUGGGCAAGUCUGGUGUCAGCCGCCGCGGUAAUACCAGCACCUCGAGUGGUCAGGACGUUUAUUGGGCCUAAAGCAUCCGUAGCCGGCUUUGCAAGUCUUCGGUUAAAUCCACCUGCUCAACAGAUGGGCUGCUGGAGAUACUACAAAGCUAGGGAGUGGGAGAGGCAGACGGUAUUCAGUGGGUAGGGGUAAAAUCCUCUGAUCCAUUGAGGACCACCAGUGGCGAAGGCGGUCUGCCAGAACACGUUCGACGGUGAGGGAUGAAAGCUGGGGGAGCAAACCGGAUUAGAUACCCGGGUAGUCCCAGCUGUAAACGAUGCAAACUCGGUGAUGCAUUGGCUUAUGGCCAAUGCAGUGCCGCAGGGAAGCCGUUAAGUUUGCCGCCUGGGAAGUACGGACGCAAGUCUGAAACUUAAAGGAAUUGGCGGGGGAGCA
Molecule: ribosomal RNA, 868 nt
Filed under: uncultured archaeon
Lineage: Archaea
Description: bacterial SSU rRNA
Rfam family: Archaeal small subunit ribosomal RNA
Source: RNAcentral